Humulus lupulus (European hop) is the source of this 107-nucleotide small nucleolar RNA. Lineage: Eukaryota; Viridiplantae; Streptophyta; Magnoliopsida; Rosales; Cannabaceae. The record is from RefSeq and is a predicted model, not a curated record.
AUUCCAUGGUGUGGACACUUCCUUAACAACUCCUUAAAUCGCUCCAAAGAAUCAUACAGUGACUCUCCUUCCAUUUGAUAAAAAUUAUUAAUCUCUCCCCUUAGUUU